This 253-nucleotide ribosomal RNA is filed under the name uncultured bacterium. RNAcentral describes it as "partial 16S ribosomal RNA". It matches the Rfam family "Bacterial small subunit ribosomal RNA", at positions 524 to 776 of the family's 1533-position model. The record is from RNAcentral.
GACAGAGGGUGCAAACGUUGUUCGGAAUUACUGGGCGUAAAGCGCGUGUAGGUGGCGAGGCAAGUCGGGUGUGAAAGCCCCGGGCUCAACCUGGGAAUUGCAUUCGAGACUGAAUAGCUAGGGUACGGUAGAGGGAAGCGGAAUUUCCGGUGUAGCGGUGAAAUGCGUAGAUAUCGGAAGGAACAUCAGUGGCGAAAGCGGCUUCCUGGACCAGUACCGACGUUCAGGCACGAAAGCGUGGGGAGCAAACAGG